UCCCUCGAAUGAGGGCAGUCUCAUCUGAAAAAUCCAACAGAUGAUGAGGGUUUCGCUCGUUUACCCACUUAAGGGCACAGCUCACGCCACGAGCUGACGACAGCCGUGCAACACCUGUCUUACGGUUCCCUUGCGGGCACGGUCCUGUUUCCAGGACGUUCCGUAGAUGUCAAACCCUGGUAAGGUUCUCCGGUUAUCGUCGAAUUAAACCACAUGCUCCACCGCUUGUGCGAUCCCCCGUCAAUUCCUUUGAGUUUUAGUCUUGCGACCGUACUCCCCAGGCGGCACACUUAACGCGUUAGCUUCGCUACAAGAAGGGUCGAUGCUUCUGAUAGCUAGUGUGCAUCGUUUACGGCGUGGACUAC
This 365-nucleotide unclassified non-coding RNA is filed under the name uncultured bacterium. RNAcentral describes it as "contains 16S-23S intergenic spacer region". The record is from RNAcentral.